RNAcentral lists this ribosomal RNA (895 nucleotides) under uncultured archaeon. Its description in RNAcentral is "bacterial SSU rRNA". It matches the Rfam family "Archaeal small subunit ribosomal RNA", at positions 23 to 919 of the family's 1478-position model. The record is from RNAcentral.
GUUACUGCUAUCGGAGUUCGAUUAAGCCAUGCGAGUCUAAAGGUUUCUUCGGAAACCUUGGCGGACUGCUCAGUAACACGUGGAUAACCUACCCUAGGGACUGGAAUAACCCCGGGAAACUGGGGAUAAUACCGGAUAGAUCAGGGAUGCUGGAAUGCGCCUUGAUCUAAAGCUCCGGCGCCCAAGGAUGGGUCUGCGGCCUAUCAGGUAGUAGUGGGUGUAAUGUACCUACUAGCCAACGACGGGUACGGGUUGUGAGAGCAAGAGCCCGGAGAUGGAUUCUGAGACACGAAUCCAGGCCCUACGGGGUGCAGCAGGCGCGAAACCUUUACAAUGUGCGAAAGCAUGAUAAGGGAACUCCGAGUGCCAGUAUCUAAUACUGGCUGUCCUUGUGCCUAAAACGCACAAGAUAGCAAGGGCCGGGUAAGACCGGUGCCAGCCGCCGCGGUAACACCGGCGGCCCGAGUGGUAGCCGCUAUUAUUGGGUCUAAAGGGUCCGUAGCCGGUUCGAUAAGUCCUCUGGGAAAUCUGGUUGCUUAACAAUCAGACUGCCAAGGGAUACUGUCGAGCUUGAGACCGGGAGAGGUAAGAGGUACUUCAGGGGUAGGAGUGAAAUCUUGUAAUCCCUGGGGGACCAUCUGUGGCGAAGGCGUCUUACCAGAACGGGUCUGACGGUGAGGGACGAAAGCUGGGGGCGCAAACCGGAUUAGAUACCCGGGUAGUCCCAGCCGUAAACGAUGCUCGCUAUGUGUCAGGUACGGUGUGACCGUAUCUGGUGCCGUAGGGAAGCCGUGAAGCGAGCCACCUGGGAAGUACGGUCGCAAGACUGAAACUUAAAGGAAUUGGCGGGGAGCACUACAACGGGUGGAGCCUGCGGUUUAAUUGGAGUCACGCC